RNAcentral lists this ribosomal RNA (441 nucleotides) under uncultured bacterium. RNAcentral's name for it is "partial 16S ribosomal RNA". It matches the Rfam family "Bacterial small subunit ribosomal RNA", at positions 338 to 795 of the family's 1533-position model. The record is from RNAcentral.
CCUACGGGUGGCAGCAGUGGGGGAUAUUGCACAAUGGGGGGAACCCUGAUGCAGCGACGCCGCGUGGGUGAAGGAGUGCUUCGGCAUGUAAAGCCCUAUCGGCAGGGAAGAAUCAAGACGGUACCUGACUAAGAAGCACCGGCUAACUACGUGCCAGCAGCGGCGGUAAUACGUAGGGGGCGAGCGUUAUCCGGAUUCACUGGGUGUAAAGGGAGCGUAGACGGGCAAGCAAGCCAGGGGUGAAAGCCCGGGGCCCAACCCCGGGACUGCCCUUGAAACUGCAUGGCGGGAGUGCGGGUGGGGCAGGCGGAAUGUGUGGUGGAGCGGUGAAAUGCGUAGAUAUCAGGAGGAACACCGGCGGCGAAGGCGGCCCGCUGGACCGCGACUGACGUUGAGGCUCGAAAGCGUGGGGAGCGAACAGGAUUAGAUACCCUUGUAGUC